This 253-nucleotide ribosomal RNA is filed under the name uncultured bacterium. RNAcentral describes it as "partial 16S ribosomal RNA". It matches the Rfam family "Bacterial small subunit ribosomal RNA", at positions 524 to 776 of the family's 1533-position model. The record is from RNAcentral.
UACGGAGGAUCCAAGCGUUAUCCGGAAUCAUUGGGUUUAAAGGGUCCGUAGGCGGUUUAGUAAGUCAGUGGUGAAAGCCCAUCGCUCAACGGUGGAACGGCCAUUGAUACUGCUAGACUUGAAUUAUUAGGAAGUAACUAGAAUAUGUAGUGUAGCGGUGAAAUGCUUAGAGAUUACAUGGAAAUCCAAUUGCGAAGGGAGGGUUAUUAUAAUGGAUUGACGCUGAUGGACGAAAGCGUGGGUAGCAAACAGG